This 497-nucleotide ribosomal RNA is filed under the name uncultured bacterium. RNAcentral describes it as "partial 16S ribosomal RNA". It matches the Rfam family "Bacterial small subunit ribosomal RNA", at positions 28 to 507 of the family's 1533-position model. The record is from RNAcentral.
GAUGAACGCUGGCGGCGUGCCUAAUACAUGCAAGUCGAGCGAACAGACGAGGAGCUUGCUCCUCUGACGUUAGCGGCGGACGGGUGAGUAGCACGUGGAUAACCUACCUAUAAGACUGGGAUAACUUCGGGAAACCGGAGCUAAUACCGGAUAAUAUAUUGAACCGCAUGGUUCAAUAGUGAAAGACGGUUUUGCUGUCACUUAUAGAUGGAUCCGCGCCGCAUUAGCUAGUUGGUAAGGUAACGGCUUACCAAGGCAACGAUGCGUAGCCGACCUGAGAGGGUGAUCGGCCACACUGGAACUGAGACACGGUCCAGACUCCUACGGGAGGCAGCAGUAGGGAAUCUUCCGCAAAGGGCGAAAGCCUGACGGAGCAACGCCGCGUGAGUGAUGAAGGUCUUCGGAUCGUAAAACUCUGUUAUUAGGGAAGAACAAAUGUGUAAGUAACUAUGCACGUCUUGACGGUACCUAAUCAGAAAGCCACGGCUAACUACGUG